RNAcentral lists this ribosomal RNA (619 nucleotides) under Escherichia coli. Its description in RNAcentral is "bacterial SSU rRNA". It matches the Rfam family "Bacterial small subunit ribosomal RNA", at positions 68 to 677 of the family's 1533-position model. Lineage: Bacteria; Pseudomonadati; Pseudomonadota; Gammaproteobacteria; Enterobacterales; Enterobacteriaceae. The record is from RNAcentral.
GGUACAGGAAGCAGCUUGCUGCUUCGCUGACGAGUGGCGGACGGGUGAGUAAUGUCUGGGAAACUGCCUGAUGGAGGGGGAUAACUACUGGAAACGGUAGCUAAUACCGCAUAACGUCGCAAGACCAAAGAGGGGGACCUUCGGGCCUCUUGCCAUCGGAUGUGCCCAGAUGGGAUUAGCUAGUAGGUGGGGUAACGGCUCACCUAGGCGACGAUCCCUAGCUGGUCUGAGAGGAUGACCAGCCACACUGGAACUGAGACACGGUCCAGACUCCUACGGGAGGCAGCAGUGGGGAAUAUUGCACAAUGGGCGCAAGCCUGAUGCAGCCAUGCCGCGUGUAUGAAGAAGGCCUUCGGGUUGUAAAGUACUUUCAGCGGGGAGGAAGGGAGUAAAGUUAAUACCUUUGCUCAUUGACGUUACCCGCAGAAGAAGCACCGGCUAACUCCGUGCCAGCAGCCGCGGUAAUACGGAGGGUGCAAGCGUUAAUCGGAAUUACUGGGCGUAAAGCGCACGCAGGCGGUUUGUUAAGUCAGAUGUGAAAUCCCCGGGCUCAACCUGGGAACUGCAUCUGAUACUGGCAAGCUUGAGUCUCGUAGAGGGGGGUAGAAUUCCAUGUGGU